This is a long non-coding RNA of Malaya genurostris, 1335 nucleotides long. RefSeq lists it as uncharacterized. The record is from RefSeq and is a predicted model, not a curated record. The transcript has 2 exons. Lineage: Eukaryota; Metazoa; Arthropoda; Insecta; Diptera; Culicidae.
GUAAAACUAGCAUCACCAGUUGGGGCCAUUGGUUCAUGUGGGACCAAACGUCUUAGAUUGGCCCAGACACGAACCAUAUUAAAUCAACCCGCUCGAGAUGUUUUUGGGCAUAUUUUUCUCUAAACAUCGGUUUCUGCAGAGUAAUUCGACAUUUCAAAUUAUUUACGUUUAUGUGGCUAUGAACAGAUCCGCACAAUAUACUCUAACUAACAACUCUUGCUGCUUCUACGGACAACAUCGAUUGAACGGGGUUUGGAAAUCAUCACAUUGACAUUUUUCACCUGUUUGAAACGAUUCAUCGACUUCCUCAUUAACUGAAAAAUUAUUGAGAUUCAUAUUAUCAUUCAACUUUAUUGAACACUAACAAUCAUGACCACACUCUUCUGAUACCUACUUUCACACAGGUCGUUUGAUGAUUCUGAUUUUGUUAGUGUUCGAAAUAAUUUCCAUCCAAAGAUAAUUUUUCAGCGGUACGAAGUUCGCCUGGACAGCUGUAGGUACAGAAAUAAGGGAAACAAGUGCAGAACGCACAGGAACAAUUGUUGAAGGUACAUGAACAGGUAGAAAACUAUCACCCAGUGUUUUAUUAGCGCUUCUGACCCGAACCGAGGAGGGGAAAGAAAUUACAAUAUGUGCUAAGGACGGAGAACUUUCAGUUGCAACUAGCUGGUGUGUUAUAACCAAUCUUUUUCCACACGAAAAGGCAGUAAAUUAUUACAUUCCUAGAACUGGGGACCGAAAAAACUUCGGUGGCAAAGUUGCAAAUAAGAUAGGAAAUUUGAAGCAAAAAAAGCGGAAAUCUGAUGCAAAAGAGGAAGAACACAGAAAAAAGAUAAAGUGCCAAAAACCGAUUGAUACGUUGACAGAUCCAGAAGCGCAAGUAGUAACUGAAUGGCUAAAAUUAAAUUCAGAGCCAUGGAGUAUGGUACUGGAAAUGUGGCCCAAAGCGUUUGUUUUUUCGUAAACAAUACCUCCGAAACAAAAAAGCAGAUGAGGCAACUUUUUUCAUCGUUCGAGCUCUAUAAAUUGCGACCGGGAUAUCAAUUAUUCGAUAUUGAUUUUCAUCUUACUAACAUCGGUACACUAAGUGGAUUGGAAAGGCUGGUAAGUUUGAGAGCGGAAUUGAUUACCUAUGUAACGAAACAUGUUCGGGAUCCAUCGGCAGACAGUUUGAUUUCCGUUUCGAUUGAUAGUUCCUCAUCUGAAGGUAAUGUAUAACAGUACAAUUGAUAUCAUAACACUAGCGUUAUACUACGUGGUGUAAACAUAUGACAGAUAUGCUUUAUGUUGUUAUUGUUAAGGUCAAAGGAAAUUAAACUGGAUUAUUGAUAUUAA